CCUUCUCUGUGACUUUCUUGCUUAGGGUUCUCUGAUUUUCAUGUCUAUGGCGCUUUAUAGGCCUAAUUGUUCAUCAUUUACAUAAUAUUAUGCUGAUUUUGUGCAUCUCUGUGAAUCCUUGAUUUUUAUGUGUUUUCCUUAGAAGUUUUAUACUGAUUUUUGAAUUACUUCCUUAUUUAUGAUACCCAUUCCUUAUUUAGAACUAAUUCCCUGUCAUUUACGUCUCAUCCGUGAUUCUUUGACUAAUUUUCAUGAUUAAUUUACAUUUUCUUCCAUACUUAGGCGUGUGAACAUGCUUUCAAAUAUUCAGUAUAUAUUUUCCUUACUUGAAUUAUUGUGUAUUUAGCCCUUUUUACAUAUUACAUGCCUCACUACUCCUAAUAUGGUAGAUACAGUAGUCUAAUGGAUUCCUUUCCUUUUAAAACAACUGCUUGUUACCGUUUGACUUUGAUUCCUUAAUUAAAGGGGACACUUUAUGCUGAUUUGAUUAUGAUUGAUACCCAGUUCCUUAAUUAUGGAUUGCUGCCUUGUUUGUUUACUCGUUUUCACUACUAUAAGUACCCACAUUCUCUUUUUCAUAAGACACGAACACAUUGCAUAUCACACACACUCAAAGACACGCAUUCAAUCUCUCAACACGCUCUUUCAAAACACUUAGUGCUCUCUUUCUUUCUCUAUUGUUUCUAUACAUACUCUCUCAUUCUUCUAUUGAACACUCAGUCGGCUGAAAGCUAAGAUUGAGUAAUCUUGGUUGUUUAUUUCUACUUCUGGGGUUCUACUGCAUUGUUUACUUAGGUUUGCCUGCUGCUUACUUCUCUGCACACUACUACUCUCAUUAUUUGCACACUCUCUGCACACUUUGCUCUCCUUGGGGCAUUAUUGCUCAUUGCUAUUGUGUUCCAUUAUCUGCAACUGGUAUGUCACCUAUUUAAGAUGCAGCUUCCAAAACAACAUGCUUCUACUAGUUUUUCCCUUCAUCUUGUUACUUUUGUGCUUUUACCUAUGGUUCUAUUGCUCUUAUUACCACCAGCAUGUAUUUAUUAGUCUGCCUAGUUUGACUUAGCAUGUUCCCUGCCCCUUCUCUGUCUCAAUGUAUGUUUUCCUCUUCCUUGUGCGCUAUUAGCAUGUAUCCAGGACCUGUUUGGCUACUUGAUUAGCCUGAAACCUCUUCCUGAGGUUGUUUAUGGUUGGGAGUUUUGUCCAGUAAGAACUGGACUCCUCAUAUGCCAUGUCUGAUUCCAUUUCUUGGAUAUGUUAUACAUAUAUGAGUAGUUUCCUUGCUUAUUUUUUCCCUUCCCCUUUGCCCCUGCUUGUGUGAUUCUCUUGUUUUGAAACUGGUCAGUCCAAAUGAAUUUCAAUUGAACUCUUUCAACUCUCCUUACUGUUUUCCCCUCAAACUGUUUUCAACUCUAUCACAAUCUCACUACUCUUAGAACUUAGGUUCAACCCCCUUAGUGUAAGCAUUGCCUUAGGAGCUUUGAGCACCCACUGAACUUUGAUGCACAAGGCUGGCACUUCCACACUCGCACUUGUCAAUGAUGAUAUAUUCUGGAUGCCUGGUAUUGGCCAGGGGUUCAGACGAACCCUUAGAGAACUUUGUCGCACCAAAUCCUUGGUAAAGGCUGUGAAACUCGCUAGAAGUGAGGUUGGAGAUUUUGGGCCUGGCUGAAGGGUCCCUAAUGAAUAACUUCUUAUUCUUUUCACUGUUGUAAUUUAAUUAAUU
Molecule: long non-coding RNA, 1723 nt
Filed under: Nicotiana benthamiana
Lineage: Eukaryota; Viridiplantae; Streptophyta; Magnoliopsida; Solanales; Solanaceae
Description: long non-coding RNA (NBEN_LNC006554)
Source: RNAcentral